RNAcentral lists this ribosomal RNA (468 nucleotides) under uncultured bacterium. RNAcentral's name for it is "partial 16S ribosomal RNA". It matches the Rfam family "Bacterial small subunit ribosomal RNA", at positions 28 to 507 of the family's 1533-position model. The record is from RNAcentral.
GACGAACGCUGGCGGCGUGCUUAACACAUGCAAGUCGAACGGAAAGGCCCUGCUUUUGUGGGGUGCUCGAGUGGCGAACGGGUGAGUAACACGUGAGUAACCUGCCCUUGACUUUGGGAUAACUUCAGGAAACUGGGGCUAAUACCGGAUAGGAGCUCCUGCUGCAGGGUGGGGGUUGGAAAGUUUCGGCGGUUGGGGAUGGACUCGCGGCUUAUCAGCUUGUUGGUGGGGUAGUGGCUUACCAAGGCUUUGACGGGUAGCCGGCCGGAGAGGGUGACCGGCCACAUCGGGACUGAGAUACGGCCCAGACUCCUACGGGAGGCAGCAGUGGGGAAUAUUGCACAAUGGGCGGAAGUCUGAUGCAGCAACGCCGCGUGCGGGAUGACGGCCUUCGGGUUGUAAACCGCUUUCGCCUGUGACGAAGCGUGAGUGACGGUAAUGGGUAAAGAAGCACCGGCUAACUACGUG